Molecule: ribosomal RNA, 342 nt
Filed under: uncultured bacterium
Lineage: Bacteria
Description: bacterial SSU rRNA
Rfam family: Bacterial small subunit ribosomal RNA
Source: RNAcentral
GGGCCCGCACAAGCGGUGGAGCAUGUGGUUUAAUUCGAUGAUACGCGAGGAACCUUACCAGGGUUUAAAUGCAGAACGACAGGGGUGGAAACACCCCUUCUUCGGUACGGACUGCAAGGUGCUGCAUGGUUGUCGUCAGCUCGUGCUGUGAAGUGUCGGGUUAAGUCCCAUAACGAGCGCAACCCACUUUCUAGUUGCCAGCGGUUCGGCCGGGACUCUAGAGAAACUGCCAGCGUAAGCUGUGAGGAAGGUGGGGAUGACGUCAAAUCAUCACGGCCCUUACAUCCUGGGCCACACACGUGCUACAAUGGUGGGGACAACAGGUUGCCAACCCGCGAGGGU